This 163-nucleotide ribosomal RNA is filed under the name uncultured bacterium. Its description in RNAcentral is "partial 16S rRNA". It matches the Rfam family "Bacterial small subunit ribosomal RNA", at positions 355 to 511 of the family's 1533-position model. The record is from RNAcentral.
UAGGGAAUCUUCCACAAUGGGCGAAAGCCUGAUGGAGCAACGCCGCGUGUAUGAUGAAGGGUUUCGGCUCGUAAACACUGUUGUAAGAGAAGAAUGACAUUGAGAGUAACUGUUCAAUGUGUGACGGUAUCUUACCAGAAAGGAACGGCUAAAUACGUGCCAC